CUUUUCUGAAACCAGCCGUUUGGCCCCCCGACAGUGAGGGGGUGUCUGCAGUGCCCCUGCACAUGCCCCUGUCCCCUCGGUGGGCAGGGGUGGGGACAGGAGGGCGUCAUAGAGCUUGGCCAAGGAGGUCAAGGCAGCCAGGGCCCUAGGUGGGCGAGGGAGGGUGGCGAAAGUGACAGCAAAGAGUCCAAGGCGAUGGGGGCGGGGGAGAGUGCGUGGAAGGGACCCCACCAUAAAUCACCCAGAUAGUCACCCUCCCGAUGGCAGCCCGGCACGCACAGACAAGGGCUGUCUCUCCCUGGAAGAAAGGCUGGUUGGGUGGCCAGUGCCCAGGGGUCCCCAAGGUCUCAAGGACAAAGCCAGAUGACAGGGCACUCUAUUCAUUUAUCCACAACACCGGCAUUUCCAGGUAUUCCGGAAGCUUCUGUGUGGAUUACGUGUGGAUCUUCAAAGCAUCACUAAGAGGCGGGCCUCCUGUCAUCCCCACUUGGCGAGAAGAUAGGAGCAGGUCAGAGGGAGCAGACUCGCCCGAGGUCCCAGGGCGGGGGCGGCGCUGGGCAGUGGCCCCCCGCUGUCCUCCAGAGCCCCUUGCCCGGAGGGUCAAGACAGACCCGGUGCCCUCUGCGUCGGAUGCUGAUGGAACCCCCACCCCAGGGAGACCGCCACAUGUUGGAGACACGUGGAAGGUGGCAGGUGUUGCCUCUUGGUGCGUGCGGAUGAACCCAGCAGCGGCCAGCAAGCCCCACAGCCCGCCUCCCUCCUUCGUUCAUCAACGAGAGCCCAGGGGCCUGCCCGGCACCCGCCGGGGCCACGGAGGCCGGGCCACGCGCCAUCUGGGGGAACGUUCCAGCACAGGCAGAGGAUCUACUGAAGGAAUGAAUGAGUGGACGAGUGAACGAGGGAAUGACUCCACCGACAGGUCCUGGAUACAUCUGCGACUAGACUGGGGCAGUGAGGAGACCGCGGCCAACACGCCCUGCCACGGCCUCUGUUAAGGUAAGCGGAGCUCCCCCAACAAAAGCGACGGGCGGAGGACUGGACGUGCGGAUGGCCAGCAAGCCCACGAAGAGAUGCUCAGUGUCAUCGGCGAAAAGCAAGUCAAAGCCACGGCGAGACACCAUCUCUCACCCGCCGGGACGGCUGCAAAACCAACAAAAGCCGAAAGCCAGAAAAUAACAAGGGUCGGCGAAGACGAGGCGAGACCGGACGUGGAGACGUUGCAGGUGAGAACAUAGGACAGUAACAGCGGCCACCGCGGAGCGAGGUCUGUGGCUCCUGCAACCUGCGACCCCCCCCCCGCCCCCUGGGCUCUGCCGGAAGAAAGAAGGCAGGGACUGAGAUGCACCCCACCCCCACCGCGUCCCCGAGCGCAGGAGCCCAAACCACCCGACUGCCGUCUGUCUGUCCGUCUGUCGUGUGCUGGUUGGUAAAUCCGACCACAGAAAGGACCGCGACACGGGGGAGGUGAGAAAACGAGACGCCUCGGCUGCGAAGUGUCCAGAACAGACAGCACAGGGAGGGCUGGGGGCGGGGAUGCACCGCAGACUGGCCGCUUAAUGGAUGCCGGCCUCCUCUAGAGGGUGAGAACGUUCUGGAACGAGGAGGGGAGGCUGCCCAGCACUGUGAGUGUGCUAACUGCCGCUUGGCUAUUCACCCUAAAGUGUCUGGGGUUUUGUCUCGUGAUUUUCACCUCAAUAAAAAAACAACAAAGGUAAGUGGAGGCCA
RNAcentral lists this long non-coding RNA (1725 nucleotides) under Felis catus (domestic cat). Its description in RNAcentral is "lncRNA (ENSFCAG00000050311.1)". The record is from RNAcentral. Lineage: Eukaryota; Metazoa; Chordata; Mammalia; Carnivora; Felidae.